Molecule: ribosomal RNA, 315 nt
Filed under: uncultured eukaryote
Lineage: Eukaryota
Description: partial 18S ribosomal RNA
Rfam family: Eukaryotic small subunit ribosomal RNA
Source: RNAcentral
CCCUUAGACGUUCUGGGCCGCACGCGCGCUACACUGACCAGUGCAACAAGCAUCCGUCCUUGGCCGACAGGCCCGGGCAAUCUUUGAACGCUGGUCGUGAUGGGGAUAGACUUUUGCAAUUUUUGGUCUUCAACGAGGAAUUCCUAGUAAAUGCAAGUCAUCAACUUGCAUUGAUUACGUCCCUGCCCUUUGUACACACCGCCCGUCGCACCUACCGAUUGAAUGGUCCGGUGAAGCCUCCGGAUUGGCGCGCACCUCGGUGCCGCCGAGAAGUUGGCUAAACCUUACCAUUUAGAGGAAGGUGAAGUCGUAACA